UAAAGAGAUAGGAAUUGAACCUAUAAUUAAGAAAUCAAAAUGCUUAGUAAUUCCGUUUUACUACU
Molecule: transfer RNA, 65 nt
Filed under: Strabomantis biporcatus (Puerto Cabello robber frog)
Lineage: Eukaryota; Metazoa; Chordata; Amphibia; Anura; Strabomantidae
Description: partial tRNA-Gln
Source: RNAcentral